RNAcentral lists this ribosomal RNA (253 nucleotides) under uncultured bacterium. Its description in RNAcentral is "partial 16S ribosomal RNA". It matches the Rfam family "Bacterial small subunit ribosomal RNA", at positions 524 to 776 of the family's 1533-position model. The record is from RNAcentral.
UACAGAGGGGGCAAGCGUUGUUCGGAAUUACUGGGCGUAAAGGGCGCGUAGGCGGCCGCCUAAGUCAGACGUGAAAUCCCUCGGCUCAACCGGGGAACUGCGUCUGAUACUGGGUGGCUUGAAUCCGGGAGAGGUGAGUGGAAUUCCUAGUGUAGAGGUGAAAUUCGUAGAUAUUAGGAAGAACACCAGUGGCGAAGGCGGCUCACUGGCCCGGUACUGACGCUGAGGCGCGAAAGCGUGGGGAGCAAACAGG